CAGUAGGGAAUAUUGCACAAUGGAGGAAACUCUGAUGCAGCGACGCCGCGUGAGUGAUGAAGGCUUUCGGGUCGUAAAGCUCUGUCGCAGGGGAAUAACACAAUGAAUGUACCCUGUAAGAAAGGAUCGGCUAACUUCGUGCCAGCAGCCGCGGUAAGACGAGGGAUCCUAGCGUUGUUCGGAAUUAUUGGGCGUAAAGCGGAUGUAGGUGGCUUUGUAAGUCAGAUGUGAAAGCCCAGGGCUCAACCCUGGAAGUGCAUUUGAUACUGCGAAGCUUGAGUGUGGGAGAGGAUAGUAGAAUUCCUGGUGUAGUGGUGAAAUACGUAGAUAUCAGGAGGAAUACCGGAGGCGAAGGCGGCUAUCUGGCCCAACACUGACACUGAGAUCCGAAAGCGUGGGGAUCAAACAGGAUUAGA
Molecule: ribosomal RNA, 416 nt
Filed under: uncultured bacterium
Lineage: Bacteria
Description: bacterial SSU rRNA
Rfam family: Bacterial small subunit ribosomal RNA
Source: RNAcentral